This is a non-coding RNA of Planctomycetales bacterium 71-10, 71 nucleotides long. The record is from Rfam. Lineage: Bacteria; Pseudomonadati; Planctomycetota; Planctomycetia; Planctomycetales.
GACGCCGGGGCCGGACGGCCAGGCGGCCGGCUGCAACCCGGCGGAAGUGGGUUCGACUCCCACCGGCGUCU